This 467-nucleotide ribosomal RNA is filed under the name uncultured bacterium. RNAcentral's name for it is "partial 16S ribosomal RNA". It matches the Rfam family "Bacterial small subunit ribosomal RNA", at positions 28 to 507 of the family's 1533-position model. The record is from RNAcentral.
GACGAACGCUGGCGGCGUGCUUAACACAUGCAAGUCGAACGGAAAGGCCCUGCUUUUGUGGGGUGCUCGAGUGGCGAACGGGUGAGUAACACGUGAGUAACCUGCCCUUGACUUUGGGAUAACUUCAGGAAACUGGGCUUAUAACGGGAAGGAGGUUCUGGUGCCUGGUGGGGGGUGGGAAGUUUCGGGGGUUGGGGAUGGACUCGCGGCUUAUCAGCUUGUUGGUGGGGUAGUGGCUUACCAAGGCUUUGACGGGUAGCCGGCCUGAGAGGGUGACCGGCCACAUUGGGACUGAGAUACGGCCCAGACUCCUACGGGAGGCAGCAGUGGGGAAUAUUGCACAAUGGGCGGAAGCCUGAUGCAGCAACGCCGCGUGCGGGAUGACGGCCUUCGGGUUGUAAACCGCUUUCGCCUGUGACGAAGCGUGAGUGACGGUAAUGGGUAAAGAAGCACCGGCUAACUACGUG